UGGAAUGUUCUAUGAGAGGCUUUUUUAAACAGUGCGGACGUGGAGUCUCAUGUUCUCGUCGAUGUUUGCUGACUUUGUAAGCUACAUUGCUUUAAAUAUGCCUUGCAAGAGUCAUUGCCUCCACUAUAACUAGCUCACAACGUCCAACUACCGAUUUGCAAUCGUGCAAUGAAGUGCCUACUUCUCUCGUCGAUGGUGGACCCGAGAAGUGCCGGCACUGAAGUGAUGCCUCAUAAAUGCCUCUUCAUGUUCAUAAUCAUGCAGGUGAUCUCCUGCGCUGAAAGUUCAGAUAUCUUUACGUGCCGCCAUCGGGAAUCGAGUUGCACUGCAGUCAGAAGACCGAACUGCCUCCAAAAAAGCAACCAGUUCCACUUCCAAUGUUGGCUCAUAGCAAAGACUGCAGUGCAGCCUUCGAGUCACUGAAUAUCGACCAUCUUCGAGGUUGUUCUUGGCUGACGAGACGAAGUCCAGCGCGAAGAGCUGCAAGUUCCGCAGCCAUCGGUGUAGUUGGGUGGCAUGUCUUCAAAAUGACGGUGGUGGCUUUCGCUGGGAAAACCACGGCUCGAGACGAACACUGCCCUGGCUUAUGCGUCAUGUCGAAGUGUGUGGUUAAGCUAUUGCCUGAAGCCAUAUACCGUCAGCUGCGUUGACCACCAAACCUACUGCGACUGCCACUGUCACGCUGUUCCCGCAGGAGGAAGGCCAAAACAAGGUCGCUUCAGGAAGCGCUGGUGAGGCGGAAUGGCUCUCGUGAUGCCCACAGUGUGUUUGCUAGGUGGACCGGAUCUCACUGCAGAUCUGAGCCUGCAAUAAAUGAAUUUUUACAUGGA
Dermacentor albipictus is the source of this 830-nucleotide non-coding RNA. The record is from RefSeq and is a predicted model, not a curated record. NCBI's taxonomy places the organism in Eukaryota, Metazoa, Arthropoda, Arachnida, Ixodida, Ixodidae.